AGCCAGACUCCUACGGGAGGCAGCAGUGGGGAAUAUUGCACAAUGGGCGAAAGCCUGAUGCAGCAACGCCGCGUGAGCGAUGAAGGCCUUCGGGUCGUAAAGCUCUGUCCUCAAGGAAGAUAAUGACGGUACUUGAGGAGGAAGCCCCGGCUAACUACGUGCCAGCAGCCGCGGUAAUACGUAGGGGGCAAGCGUUAUCCGGAUUUACUGGGUGUAAAGGGAGCGUAGACGGCAUGGCAAGUCAGGAGUGAAAGCCCGGGGCUCAACCCCGGGACUGCAUUUGGAACUGUGCUGCUAGAGUGUCGGAGAGGCAGGCGGAAUUCCUAGUGUAGCGGUGAAAUGCGUAGAUAUUAGGAGGAACACCAGUGGCGAAGGCGGCUUACUGGACUGUAACUGACGUUGAGGCUCGAAAGCGUGGGGAGCAAACAGGAUUAGAUACCCCAGUAA
This 447-nucleotide ribosomal RNA is filed under the name uncultured bacterium. RNAcentral's name for it is "partial 16S ribosomal RNA". It matches the Rfam family "Bacterial small subunit ribosomal RNA", at positions 329 to 793 of the family's 1533-position model. The record is from RNAcentral.